UACGAAGGGGGCGAGCGUUGUUCGGAUUUAUUGGGCGUAAAGGGCGCGUAGGCGGCUACGCACGUCCGUUGUGAAAUCGCUCGGCUCAACUGGGCGGGGUCAGCGGAUACGGCGUAGCUGGAGCAAGCUAGGGGGCAAUGGAAUUCCCGGUGUAGUGGUGGAAUGCGUAGAUAUCGGGAGGAACACCAGUGGCGAAGGCGGUUGCCUGGAGCUUUGCUGACGCUGAUGCGCGAAAGCGUGGGUAGCAAACAGG
This 253-nucleotide ribosomal RNA is filed under the name uncultured bacterium. Its description in RNAcentral is "partial 16S ribosomal RNA". It matches the Rfam family "Bacterial small subunit ribosomal RNA", at positions 524 to 776 of the family's 1533-position model. The record is from RNAcentral.